This is a long non-coding RNA of Vitis vinifera (wine grape), 1372 nucleotides long. RefSeq lists it as uncharacterized. Lineage: Eukaryota; Viridiplantae; Streptophyta; Magnoliopsida; Vitales; Vitaceae. The transcript has 4 exons. The record is from RefSeq and is a predicted model, not a curated record.
GCUGUUUUUUUAAUGCCCAACAUGCUCUCCUCUUUCUGCCAGGUCAGCCUCCACAUCUGAAAAAAAAAAUUUACUUUCUGUGCGUUCAAACCCUCCUCCGUUCACUUUCUGUUCUCAUCUCCUUUAUUUUCCCCCUCCCUUUGUACAUAUCUAACUAGUAUGAAUCCUAAUGGAAAACCACAGUCCUCGUCUUCAUUUCUCCCCUUCAUCUCUACAGUACAAAACCUAAUUAAAAACCACAACUAUGAGGCUGAUGGAAGAAAACCAGAUUAGCAUCAGCGGUUUCCGAUUCCUUGGCUUUCAGGUUCAAUAUGGGUGGAUCAAAACAAUCAUGAUACGGAGGAGGGAACUCUGUUGGUUGGCAUGGGUAGGUAGAAGGUAUUGCAGUAUGAAAGAGGCUUUGUUAAACACAGUUGGGGUUCUACAUAAUAUUGACUGGAAUCUUCCUCCUUUAUGCUCACAUCACAAAGUACAGAACAAUCUCUGGAGUUGCUGGGCCAUUGGUUAUCCUCAAUAAAGUCAAGAUAUUCCUUGCUUCACCCAUUAUCUAGUAUUUUUAUUUAUUCCCUUUUCACUCAUAUGAUUUUCAUCUGUUCAGAAUCUAGCGAUCAAUAAUUUACUUUCUCAGUGCACCAGGGACCCAAGUAUCAAGAGAUUGUCAAUAUUCGUCUGGGAGAUGGAACAACUCGACGUGGUCAAGUCCUAGAAGUUUAUGGUGACAAAGCAGUUGUGUAGGUGAUUACUGUUUGGCAUUCUCCAUUAUGUGCUCAUGUUUAUGAAGUUCAUGAUUAUACAUUCUUUAAUGGUUUCAUAUUUUUAAACACCUAUCACAUUUAGUAAAUAAUAGUGGAUACAUAUGCAUUUUAUUUGAAAGUUUAAAUGCUGAAAGCUUUUUGUGAUAUGACUUCCAUUACUUAUGGACAAAGUAUCCUAAGAAAUUAUCUGUUGGGCAUGGUUUGGUAGAUUGAGAUCAACUUCUUUCUUUCUAUGGAUGUUUCGUUCUGUCCCUUUCUUCCCCCUUUAUGCAGGUUUUGAAAACUCCUGUCUCCUUAAACCUGAGUUAUGCUCUAGGGAUUCAUGGAGCUGAGUUGAUAAAGCUAAUCCGCCACUGCAGGAAAUUUCAAUGACUCUGGAUACUGGAUUGCACUGGAGACGAAGGACUAGGAGUUGUAGCUUCUACUUCUGUGGACUUUGUAGAUGUAGUCUGGGUCUUCCAAAUAUUUAUUGUUAUCUAGUAGUUGUACUUUGUUUAGGUGAAUUGAUUACUGGAUUUUUAGUUAAUGCAGAUUUAGGAGUAUGUUGUUUAAUUUACCAGAGAUCUCUUGUUUGUAAUUCUUGUUAUCAUAUUUAGAUCUUUGUUAAGAUUUGCCAA